AAUGGACGAAAGUCUGACCCAGCGACAUCGCGUGGGGGAUGAAGGCCUUAGGGUUGUAAACUCCUUUUAUAAGAGAAGAGUAAGGACGGUACCUUAUGAAUAAGCCCCGGCUAACUACGUGCCAGCAGCCGCGGUAAUACGUAGGGGGCGAGCGUUACCCGGAAUCACUGGGCGUAAAGAGAGCGUAGGCGGUUUGGAAAGUCAUUUGUGAAAGCUCCUGGCUCAACUAGGAGAGGUCAAGUGAAACUUCCUGACUUGAGGACGGUAGAGGUAAGCGGAAUUCUUGGUGUAGCGGUGAAAUGCGUAGAUAUCAAGAAGAACACCAGAGGCGAAGGCGGCUUACUGGGCCGUUUCUGACGCUGAGGCUCGAGAGCGUGGGUAGCAAACAGGAUU
This 393-nucleotide ribosomal RNA is filed under the name uncultured Chloroflexota bacterium. RNAcentral's name for it is "bacterial SSU rRNA". It matches the Rfam family "Bacterial small subunit ribosomal RNA", at positions 370 to 779 of the family's 1533-position model. Lineage: Bacteria; Bacillati; Chloroflexota. The record is from RNAcentral.